GCACGCGUAGCCAAGCUGGUGAAGGCGGCGGCCUGCAAAGCCGCCCAUCGCCGGUUCGAAUCCGGCCGCGUGCU
This 74-nucleotide transfer RNA is filed under the name Acidobacteriota bacterium. RNAcentral's name for it is "tRNA-Cys". It matches the Rfam family "tRNA". From Rfam's summary of the family: Transfer RNA (tRNA) molecules are approximately 80 nucleotides in length. Their secondary structure includes four short double-helical elements and three loops (D, anti-codon, and T loops). Further hydrogen bonds mediate the characteristic L-shaped molecular structure. tRNAs have two regions of fundamental functional importance: the anti-codon, which is responsible for specific mRNA codon recognition, and the 3' end, to which the tRNAs corresponding amino acid is attached (by aminoacyl-tRNA synthetases). tRNAs cope with the degeneracy of the genetic code in two manners: having more than one tRNA (with a specific anti-codon) for a particular amino acid; and 'wobble' base-pairing, i.e. permitting non-standard base-pairing at the 3rd anti-codon position. The record is from RNAcentral. Lineage: Bacteria; Pseudomonadati; Acidobacteriota.